Molecule: transfer RNA, 73 nt
Filed under: Pangasius djambal
Lineage: Eukaryota; Metazoa; Chordata; Actinopteri; Siluriformes; Pangasiidae
Description: tRNA-Lys
Rfam family: tRNA
About the family: Transfer RNA (tRNA) molecules are approximately 80 nucleotides in length.
Source: RNAcentral
GCCCGGAUGGCGCAGUCGGUAGAGCAUCAGACUUUUAAUCUGAGGGUCCAGGGUUCAAGUCCCUGUUCGGGCG